This 506-nucleotide ribosomal RNA is filed under the name uncultured bacterium. RNAcentral describes it as "partial 16S ribosomal RNA". It matches the Rfam family "Bacterial small subunit ribosomal RNA", at positions 30 to 523 of the family's 1533-position model. The record is from RNAcentral.
AUUGAACGCUGGCGGCAGGCCUAACACAUGCAAUUCGAACGGUAACAGGAAACAGCUUGCUGUUUCGCUGACGAGUGGCGGACGGGUGAGUAAUGCCUGGGAAACUGCCUGAUGGAGGGGGAUAACUACUGGAAACGGUAGCUAAUACCGCAUAACGUCGCAAGACCAAAUAGGGGGCCCUUCGGGCCUAUUGCCAUCGGAUGUGCCCAGAUGGGUUUAGCUAGUAGGUUGGGUAACGGCUCACCUAGGAGCAGAUCCCUAGCUGGUCUGAGUGGAUGACCAGCCACACUGGACAGGAAACAAGGUCGAUACUCCUACGGGAGGCAGCCGUUGCGAAUAUUGCACAAUGGGCGCAAGCCUGAUGCAGCAAUGUGGUGUGUAUGAAAAAGGCCUUUGGGUUGUAAAGUACUUUCAGCGGGGAGGAAUAGAGUAAAGUUAAUACCUUGGCUCAUUGACGUUACCCGCAGAAGAAGCACCGGCUAACUCCGUGCCAGCAGCCGCCGUAA